CAAUAGCGUAUAUUUAAGUUGUUGCAGUUAAAAAGCUCGUAGUUGGAUUUCGGGUGGGACGCAGCGGUCUCGCAUUGCGUUUGUACUGCUGCAGCCCUCCUUCUUGCCGGGGGCGGCCUCUCGGACUUCACUGUCUGGGGGUCAGAAUCGGCGAUGUUACUUUGAGUAAAUUAGAGUGUUCAAAGCAAGCUUACGCUCUGAAUAUAAUAGCAUGGGAUAACACGAUAGGACUCUGGCUUAUCUUGUUGGUCUGUGAGACCAGAGUAAUGAUUAAGAGGGACAGUCGGGGACAUUCGUAUUUCAUUGUCAGAGGUGAAAUUCUUGGAUUUAUGAAAGACGAACUUCUGCGAAAGCAUUUGUCAAGGAUGUUUUCAUUAA
This 378-nucleotide ribosomal RNA is filed under the name uncultured eukaryote. RNAcentral describes it as "partial 18S ribosomal RNA". It matches the Rfam family "Eukaryotic small subunit ribosomal RNA", at positions 592 to 976 of the family's 1831-position model. The record is from RNAcentral.